RNAcentral lists this ribosomal RNA (469 nucleotides) under uncultured bacterium. RNAcentral's name for it is "bacterial SSU rRNA". It matches the Rfam family "Bacterial small subunit ribosomal RNA", at positions 28 to 507 of the family's 1533-position model. The record is from RNAcentral.
GAUGAACGCUGGCGGCGUGCUUAACACAUUCAAGUCGAACGGGCGACGGGGAGCUUGCUCCCCUGAGCUAGUGGCGGACGGGUGAGUAACGCGUGAGUAACCUGCCUUUCUCUGGGGAAUAACAUCGCGAAAGUGGUGCUAAUACCGCAUAACGUAUUCCGAUCGCAUGUUUGGAAUACCAAAGGAUUUAUUUGGAGAAAGAUGGGCUCGCGUCUGAUUAGGUAGUUGGUGGGGUAACGGCCUACCAAGCCGGCGAUCAGUAGCCGGACUGAGAGGUUGAACGGCCACAUUGGAACUGAGAUACGGUCCAGACUCCUACGGGAGGCAGCAGUGGGGAAUAUUGGGCAAUGGGCGAAAGCCUGACCCAGCGACGCCGCGUGAAGGAAGAAGGUCUUCGGAUUGUAAACUUUUGUCAGCAGGGAAGAAGAAAGUGACGGUACCUGCUAAGAAAGCCACGGCUAACUACGUG